This is a long non-coding RNA of Astyanax mexicanus (Mexican tetra), 667 nucleotides long. RefSeq lists it as uncharacterized. The record is from RefSeq and is a predicted model, not a curated record. The transcript is spliced from 2 exons. Lineage: Eukaryota; Metazoa; Chordata; Actinopteri; Characiformes; Acestrorhamphidae.
UGUGUCUGAAACGCAUAAAUCACAUUAAAACAGAGAACACAGUAUGUGUCACAAAAUUCCAAUGCAAAGUGAAUACCGUAGAAUUAUUCAGAAGCUACUUUUAGGUAGUGUACCUCCCGGUGAGAGAUUGUUUACUGCUAGUAGACAUGCCUCUACAAAACAGGUCAAGAUAGUGUGUCAUCGUGCAGAGAAAAUUGGAUGGUUGUUUUAACAACUUGCCAGAUAUCUAGGCCGUCCAUCAGCCGGUCACCAUUGCCUUUAACUGCAGUGGUGUUUUGAACAAGAAACCUGGACUAGGCUUUUCCCGAUCCGAUAUUUGGAUCGGAUCGGCCGCCGAUACUUGCAAAAAUCAGAUCGGCAGGCACGAGAAAAUGCCAGACUCCCGAUCCAGUUCGCGAUCGCGAUCGCACUAUUUAGAUAAUCAAUUCCAUUUUUGCUGUGUUUUCGCCAGUGAGAGUUAAAUCCGGUCCGGUGAAUUUCACCAGCUCAGCAUUCCAGCGCUCAGAUUUAAAUACAUGGCAGACGGAGCCUGGAGUUUCUCUACAAAUGGAUGAACGCGGGCCAGGAAAGAUGAACUCCGGUCAGACCGGCUGGAGGCAGCAUUAGCUCCCUUUAUGAAGAGUUUUUUUCUUUGAAUUUAAUAAAGUUUUCUAUCUCUUAACAUUAA